GUGAAUCAUCAAAUUUUUGAACGCAACUUGCACUCCCUGGUAUUACGGGGAGUAUGCCUGUUUGAGGGUCGUUAGAAUACAAAAUCGAUUCGUCGCUCUUUUUUUAAAGGGUGAUCGCGUCGGUAUUGUGCCGUCUUUCACAUGUUAUUUCAUGUAAAAUUGGCCUGAAAUUCCUCCAUCCGGUACGAUUGAUGCGUAUUUAAGAUCAAUUUUGAUUGAGAACGCGCGAUGACGUACUAUCUCAUGUAGUACGUUUGUCAUG
This 262-nucleotide unclassified non-coding RNA is filed under the name Glomeraceae sp. RNAcentral describes it as "partial contains 5.8S ribosomal RNA and internal transcribed spacer 2". The stretch from base 1 to 71 matches the Rfam family "5.8S ribosomal RNA", at positions 84 to 154 of the family's 154-position model. The record is from RNAcentral. Lineage: Eukaryota; Fungi; Glomeromycota; Glomeromycetes; Glomerales; Glomeraceae.